RNAcentral lists this ribosomal RNA (514 nucleotides) under uncultured bacterium. RNAcentral describes it as "bacterial SSU rRNA". It matches the Rfam family "Bacterial small subunit ribosomal RNA", at positions 28 to 527 of the family's 1533-position model. The record is from RNAcentral.
GAUGAACGCUGGCGGCGUGCCUAACACAUGCAAGUCGAACGGGGGCAUUCUGGUAGCAAUACUGGGGUGCUCUAGUGGCGAACGGGUGAGUAACGCGUGAGCAACCUACCUUCCAGAGGGGGAUAACACAGGGAAACCUGUGCUAAUACCGCAUAACGUACGAUGGGGGCAUCCUUAUUGUACCAAAGGAGCAAUCCGCUGGGAGAUGGGCUCGCGUCCGAUUAGGUAGUUGGCGGGGUAACGGCCCACCAAGCCGACGAUCGGUAGCCGGGCUGAGAGGUCGGCCGGCCACAUUGGGACUGAGACACGGUCCAGACUCCUACGGGAGGCAGCAGUAGGGAAUAUUGGACAAUGGGCGCAAGCCUGAUCCAGCCAUGCCGCGUGAGUGAAGAAGGCCCUCGGGUUGUAAAGCUCUUUUGUCCGGAAAGAAAGCGCCGGGUUAAUACCCUGGUGUCCUGACGGUACCGGAAGAAUAAGCACCGGCUAACUUCGUGCCAGCAGCCGCGGUAAGGUA